GGGCGCGUAGCUCAGGGGUAGAGCGUCGCCCUUACAAGGCGAAUGUCGGCGGUUCGAAACCGUCCGCGCCCACCG
This 75-nucleotide transfer RNA is filed under the name Streptomyces spectabilis. RNAcentral's name for it is "tRNA-Val". It matches the Rfam family "tRNA". From Rfam's summary of the family: Transfer RNA (tRNA) molecules are approximately 80 nucleotides in length. RNAcentral also lists the same sequence under 3 other names. The record is from RNAcentral. Lineage: Bacteria; Bacillati; Actinomycetota; Actinomycetes; Kitasatosporales; Streptomycetaceae.